AGCAAACGUUGGCGGCGUGCCUAAUACAUGCAAGUCGAACGAGAGGCCCCUUCGGGGGUGGACAGUGGCGCACGGGUGAGUAACGCGUGGAUAAUCUGCCCUCUAGUGGGGAACAACUAACCGAAAGGUUAGCUAAUACCGCAUAAGACCACAGUACCUGCGGAUACAGUGGUUAAAGAUUUAUCGCUAGAGGAUGAGUCCGGGUCCGAUUAGCUUGUUGGUGGGGUAAAGGCCUACCAAGGCGACGAUCGGUAGCUGGUCUGAGAGGAUGAUCAGCCACACUGGAACUGAGACACGGUCCAG
This 303-nucleotide ribosomal RNA is filed under the name uncultured bacterium. RNAcentral's name for it is "bacterial SSU rRNA". It matches the Rfam family "Bacterial small subunit ribosomal RNA", at positions 29 to 334 of the family's 1533-position model. The record is from RNAcentral.